UCAGACGAUGCGUCAUGCAUAUCAAUAAGCGGAGGAAAAGAAACUAACAAGGAUUCCCUUAGUAACGGCGAGUGAAGCGGGAAGAGCUCAAAUUUGAAAUCUUCAAGGUUUUACCUUGACGAAUUGUAGUUUAAAGAAGUGUUUUCUGCUGAAGUUUUGGUAAAAGUUCUUUGGAAUAGGACAUCAUAGAGGGUGAGAAUCCCGUAUUUGACCAUUAUUUUCAGCUUUGUGAUACACUUUCAAAGAGUCGGAUUGUUUGGGAAUGCAGUCCAAAAUGGGUGGUAAAUUUCAUCUAAAGCUAAAUAUUGGCGAGAGACCGAUAGCGAACAAGUACCGUGAGGGAAAGAUGAAAAGAACUUUGAAAAGAGAGUUAAACAGUACGUGAAAUUGUCAAAAGGGAAGCGUUUGACACCAGUGUUGUUUUCUCGAAAAUCAAUUAAAAAUGGCUCGAUUUUGUAUUGCUGAGACCUUAAAAGCUCACUGUACAUUUUUCGUGUCUUUUUUAAUGCACUUUUCGUUUAACAAGUCAACAUCAGUUUCUUUUGUUGUAAAAGGGUCAUUGGAAGGUGGCUUUCUUUUCGGAGAAAGUGUUUAUAGCCUUUGGCCUCUGCAAUCGGAAGAGACUGAGGUCUGCAGCGUAGACUCUUCGGGGUUAGAUGCAUUUGUGCUAAGUUAUAGCUUUUUAUAGACAACUUGUUGACUAUGAUUAGUCUUGUAGCUUACUCGCUUAUGCUAUUUUACCUACGCUUAGGAUGUUGACUGAUAUGUAGUCGU
Molecule: ribosomal RNA, 774 nt
Filed under: uncultured Neocallimastigales
Lineage: Eukaryota; Fungi; Neocallimastigomycota; Neocallimastigomycetes; Neocallimastigales
Description: partial large subunit ribosomal RNA
Rfam family: Eukaryotic large subunit ribosomal RNA
Source: RNAcentral